AUGGCAGCGUCACCACUGCCGAGAUGGGCUCCGACGCCGAGCCCUACCAAGCCACUCCGGUCGACGACGUCGAGCACCGCCAUGGUUUCAUGGCGUGGCUGGUCGGCGUGGCCGUCAAGCCCCAUCUUCUUCCCACGUUGUCUCUCUGACUCCGACCCAUCGAAGGCUUCGCCGCCGGCCAGUGGGGUGGUGGACAAUGUAGAGGCCGGUACUACGGAGGUAUUUCUGACGUGGAAAGACCUCUCAGUGACGGCCAUGAACGGGAGAAAGGGCCGUGCUGUGAUCCUUGAUAAGCUUAGCGGGUACGCGCGCCCUGGAGAAGUGCUGGCUCUCAUGGGUCCUUCGGGCUGUGGCAAAACUACUCUACUUGAUACCUUAGCUGGACGACUUGGACCCAAUAUGAAAGAGAGUGGAGACAUCAUGAUAAACGGUUGCCGGCAGAAGAUUGCAUCCAGAACCUCCGCAUAUGUGACCCAAGAAGACGUGCUGAUGGUGACGUUGACGGUGGCGGAGGCGGUCCACUACUCGGCGGAGCUUCAGCUGCCGGACUCCUUGACGCCGGCUGAGAAGCGCUCGUGGGCCGACGACGUUAUCAAGCAGAUGGGGCUUGCUGCCGUGGCCGGAACCCGGAUCGGUGGGCGCGUUUCCAAGGGCAUCAGCGGUGGCCAGCGGAAGCGAGUGAGCAUCUGCAUUGAGCUGCUGGCGUCGCCGGCGCUCAUCUUCCUCGACGAGCCGACCAGUGGGCUUGACAGCGCCGCGUCGUACCACGUCAUGAGCCGCAUCGCCGGGAUCGCCAAAAGGAACGGGACCACGGUCGUCGCAGCCAUCCACCAGCCAAGCACAGAGGUGUUCGAGCUCUUCCAUGGCCUCUGCCUGCUGGCCAACGGGAAGACGGUUUAUUUCGGGCCAGCUUCCAAAGCAAUGGAGUUCUUCGAUGCUAAUGGCUUCCCAUGCCCAUUGAGGAUGAAUCCUUCGGAUCACUUCUUAAGGAUGAUAAACAUAGACUUUGAGGAUUUUGAAGAAGAAUCUACUGUUAAUGUGCCGCAUGCUGCGAAAGUAAUCCAGACUUUGGUUGGUUCUUCUGGGUCUGUUGCUAUCUUAGACACUGAAAUAGAAGCAAGGCAAACAAAUCAGGGAGAAUAUGUAGUUCAACAAAGGCAAGCUACAUUCUUGACCAAAUCAGUUGUCCUAACCAAAAGAUCAAUGAUAAACAUGCAUAGAGACAUAGGCUAUUAUUGGUUGCGCUUUGGUAUCUACAUCGCCCUUUUUCUAACCAUUGGGACAAUUUUCUUCAAUGUUGGUCACAAUUAUUCAUCAAUCCAAGCACGAGCGUCCAUGCUUAUGUACACAUCCACCUUCAUGACAAUGAUGGCAAUCGGAGCUUUUCCAUCAUUUGUCGAGGAUAUGAAGGUAUUUGAGAAAGAAAGGCGGAGUGGACACUACGGGGUCACCGAAUUUGUCAUAGCCAACACACUUUCAUCAACUGUAUACUUGGGACUCAUCUGUGUACUACCUGCUAUAAUUGCUUAUUACCUAACUGGGCUUCAAAGAGGAAUAGGACACUUCUUCUUCUUUGUUGUAACACUAUGGGCUUGCACAAUGUUGGUUGAAGGUUUGAUGAUGAUUGUCGCAGCCAUUGUACCUGAUUUUCUCCUGGGCAUAAUCACAGGAUCUGGAGUACAAGGGUUACUAAUGCUAAACGCCGGUUUCUUCAGGCUUCCAAAUGACCUCCCAAAACCAAUAUGGAAGUACCCAACUUACUACAUAUCCUACCACAAAUAUACAACUCAAGGACUAUACAAAAAUGAAUUCUUGGGCUUGGUGUUCCCAAAUUUAGCUGGUGUCGAUGGAGUCAUCACUGGUCAAUAUAUCCUGAAGAACAACUUUCAAGUGGAGUUAGGCUACUCGAAGUGGGUUGAUCUUGCGAUAUUACUUGGAAUGGUCAUUAUCUAUAGGGUGAUUUUCCUAGUUAUUAUAAAGGCUUCCGAUGUGGCAAAACCCAUGAUAAAAUCCUUCCUAGUAAAAGUGUAA
RNAcentral lists this ribosomal RNA (2031 nucleotides) under Triticum aestivum (bread wheat). RNAcentral's name for it is "partial small subunit ribosomal RNA". Lineage: Eukaryota; Viridiplantae; Streptophyta; Magnoliopsida; Poales; Poaceae. The record is from RNAcentral.